This is a long non-coding RNA of Nothoprocta perdicaria, 1184 nucleotides long. RefSeq lists it as uncharacterized. The record is from RefSeq and is a predicted model, not a curated record. NCBI's taxonomy places the organism in Eukaryota, Metazoa, Chordata, Aves, Tinamiformes, Tinamidae. The transcript has 6 exons.
GCUUUCCUGAUGACUGUAGGAGCAGGAUUUCCAUAGAUUUUUYUCCAAUUACAGGUUUUGAACAGAGGUAGAACCUGAAUGAUGAAACUAUYAUGAUAUCUCAGCUGAAAGACAGAUUGAUUCCGAAGGUACCAGGGAAAAUUUUCCAGAGGUUUUUGUUCUCUCCUUGAAAGGAAAUACUCAAAGUACAUGAUGGCUGGAUCUAAAUAUUCUCAAAAACACUGCUAUUUUAUAGUAGUCCAGGCAUUGCCAAAUAUUGCAUUUUCUCUUAAUGUCUGUACAAGCUCCAGAUUAACACUCAGCAGUCCCUGGUCAUCUCUUGGUGUAACAGAACAUGGGACCAAAGUUUGGAUCAGCUGGUGUUCAGAGCAACUUCCACUGCGGUUUGCUGGGCACUCCAUGUUGCUGUGCGGAGCUGGGUGCUUUCCUGCUGGGCCGAGCAGCUGGUCUCCCUUGGUCUGAGUCCAUAACAAACACAGAAGCGGUGCCCAACUCAACCCGCGAGUAGAACCUGCUGUGAAUCUUUCCACCGACUGAUGAGGGGAAAGAAUGUCAAGACCACAUUGUGGGGAAACUCAGACACAUCAGACACGUUGGAUUGAUGGAGCUGGGCACUGACAGAGUGAGUCUGUUCCAGCUGCAAUGACUGUGGAAGAAUUGGAUCUGGACCCUCUUAACCAGCCCUCUGAAAGUAAGAUUUCUGUUACCGUGACCAAUCGCCAAGGACUAUUUUAUUUUAACCCAUGUCAAAUCUGAGCCUACCUAUGGGGCUAAACCACAACCUUCUGAGCCAAGUGUAUCUGAAUACAAACUCUCUUCACUGGCUGUUUGUUACUUUUUGGAAAAUUUAGCCACAUACAGUGGUAUGGAGCAAUCUCCACCAAAUGAAACUUCUCAAGCUUUGUUGAAUUUGAAAUAAUGUAUACUCCUUUCUCCAAACUUACCGAGUCAAUGCAUCAGCUCCUUGUUUAUUAGCAAAUGAAAUGAACAGAACACAGCUCUGUAUUGGAUUUUCUCUUCAGGAUAAACAAGAUGAAAAGAAAGAUUUAAUAGUUUACUUGACUGCCCCUUAUUCUGUAAACCAUAAGCACUUGUGAGAGCUCUCAUACGUAUUCCAUAUUGAGCACCUAGCAGCCUGUAGACAGCUUACACUGUUCUCCUGGGAUGCUUCCAGUAGGCAAUCC